UAGAUGCGAGAGUAGAGCAUAUCAAUAAGCGGAGGAAAAGAAACUAACAAGGAUUCCCCUAGUAACGGCGAGUGAAGCGGGAAGAGCUCAAAUUUGAAAUCUUAAAGGGUUUCCCUUUACGAAUUGUAGUUUAAAGAAGUGUUUUCUGUUGGAGUUUCGGUAAAAGUUCUUUGGAAUAGGACAUCAUAGAGGGUGAGAAUCCCGUAUUUGAUCCGUUACUUUCCAGCUGUGUGAUACACUUUCAAAGAGUCGGAUUGUUUGGGAAUGCAGUCCAAGAUGGGUGGUAAAUUUCAUCUAAAGCUAAAUAUUGGCGAGAGACCGAUAGCGAACAAGUACCGUGAGGGAAAGAUGAAAAGAACUUUGAAAAGAGAGUUAAACAGUACGUGAAAUUGUCAAAAGGGAAGCGUUUGACACCAGUGUUGUUUAGUUGAAAAUCAAUUCAAUAUUUUUUGAUUCUAAGUAGUAUUGACUUCAUCAGCUUGCUGCUUUCUUCUCAGGAAAUUAUUGAAUGCACUUUUCAGUUAACAAGUCAACAUCAAUUUCUUUCGUUGUAAAAGGGUAAGAGGAAGGUGGCUUGCGCUUCGGCUCAAGUGUUUAUAGCCUUUUAUCUCUAGCAAUCGGAGAGAUUGAGGUCUGCAGCGUAGAUCCUUCGGGGUUAGAUACAGUUGUGCUAAGCUAUAGCCUUGUAUAGACAACUUGUUGACUAUGCUCAGUCAUGUAGCUUACUCGCUUAUGCUAUUUUACCUACGCUUAGGAUGUUGACACACGCGCGUGCUCG
RNAcentral lists this ribosomal RNA (778 nucleotides) under uncultured Neocallimastigales. RNAcentral's name for it is "partial large subunit ribosomal RNA". It matches the Rfam family "Eukaryotic large subunit ribosomal RNA", at positions 22 to 643 of the family's 3401-position model. Lineage: Eukaryota; Fungi; Neocallimastigomycota; Neocallimastigomycetes; Neocallimastigales. The record is from RNAcentral.